This 494-nucleotide ribosomal RNA is filed under the name uncultured bacterium. RNAcentral's name for it is "partial 16S ribosomal RNA". It matches the Rfam family "Bacterial small subunit ribosomal RNA", at positions 28 to 507 of the family's 1533-position model. The record is from RNAcentral.
GAUGAGCGCUGGCGGCGUGCUUAACACAUGCAAGUCGAACGGUGAGGCGCCUUCCUUUCUGGUGGGCGUGGAUGAGUGGGGAACGGGUGCGUAACACGCGAGUAAGCUGCCCCCUUUUUCUGGAUAACCGGAUGAAAGUGUGGCUAUUACGGGAUAUUCUGGGUCUGUCGCAUGUUGGGUCUGGGCACGAUCUUGUUUCGGUGGGGGUUGGGCUCGCGGCCUAUCAGUUUGUUGGUGGGGUGAUGGCCUACCAAGGCGGUGACGGGUAGCUGGCCUGGGAGGGUGCGCCGUCACAGAGGGACUGAGACACCGCCCAGACUCCUACAGGAGGCAGCGGGGAGGAAUAGAGCACAGUGGACACAAGGCUGAUGCAGCGACGCCGCGUGGGAGAAGGUGGCCGGCUGGUUGUGAACCUCUUGCGCCGGGGAAGGAUACCAGCCUCAUUUGUGGCUGGGUUGACGGUACCUGGAUAAGAAGCGCCGGCUAACUACGUG